RNAcentral lists this ribosomal RNA (537 nucleotides) under uncultured bacterium. RNAcentral describes it as "partial 16S ribosomal RNA". The record is from RNAcentral.
GUAGUUAGCCGGGGCUUCCUUCUCGGCUACCGUCAUUGUUUUCUUGACCAAGAACAGAGGUUUACAAUCCGAAAACCUUCUUCCCUCACGCGGCGUUGCUGGGUCAGGCUUGCGCCCAUUGCCCAAUAUUCCCCACUGCUGCCUCCCGUAGGAGUCUGGACCGUGUCUCAGUUCCAGUGUGGCCGAUCAGCCUCUCAGCUCGGCUACCCAUCGCGGACUUGGUGGGCCGUUACCCCGCCAACUAUCUAAUGGGACGCGAGCCCCUCCAACAGCGGAUUGCUCCUUUGACCCCUCUGCCAUGUGACAGUGUGGUCUCAUGCGGUAUUAGCGACAAUUUCUCGUCGUUAUCCCCCUCUGAAGGACAGGUUGCUCACGCGUUACUCACCCGUUCGCCACUAAGUUAUCAAAAGCAAGCUCCGAUAACUCCGUUCGACUUGCAUGUGUUAGGCACGCCGCCAGCGUNUCUCUAGCGACNCGAUACAACUAACUACGUACUACGUAGACGGGACGUACGGCGAACGGACGGACGACGUAGAG